This 440-nucleotide ribosomal RNA is filed under the name uncultured bacterium. Its description in RNAcentral is "partial 16S ribosomal RNA". It matches the Rfam family "Bacterial small subunit ribosomal RNA", at positions 338 to 795 of the family's 1533-position model. The record is from RNAcentral.
CCUACGGGAGGCAGCAGUGGGGAAUAUUGCACAAUGGGGGAAAGCCUGAUGCAGCAACGCCGCGUGGGUGAAGAAGUAUUUCGGUAUGUAAAGCCCUAUCAGCAGGGAAGAGGAUGACGGUACCUUACUAAGAAGCCCCGGCUAACUACGUGCCAGCAGCCGCGGUGAUACGUAGGGGGCAAGCGUUAUCCGGAUUUACUGGGUGGAAAGGGAGCGGAGACGGUUGUGCAAGUCUGAAGUGAAAGCCCGCGGCUAAACUGCGGCACGGCUUUGGAAACUGUGUAACUGGAGUGCUGGAGAGGUAAGUGGAAUUCCUGGUGUAGCGGUGAAAUGCGUAGAGAUCAGGAGGAACACCGGCGGCGAAGGCGGCUUACUGGACAGUUACUGACGCUGAGGCGCGAAAGCGUGGGGAGCAAACAGGAUUAGAUACCCUAGUAGUC